CUCUUCUGGUGACAGCCAGUGACAGGACAAGGGGCAAUGGGUGCAAACUGGAACACAGGAGGUUCCACUGAAAGAGGAGAAGCAACUUGUUCCUGGUGAGGGUGGCAGAGCCUGGCCCAGGCUGCCCAGGGGGUUGUGGAGUCUCCUUCUGUGCAGACAUUCCAACCCGCCUGGACACCUUCCUGUGUAACCUCAUCUGGGUGUUCCUGCUCCAUGGGGGAUUGCACUGGAUGGGCUUUCCAGGGCCCUCGGGAUCGCUGGCAUUCUGUGAUUCUGUGAAUCAUCCUCCCCUCGUUUUGCAGGUGCUCAGAAAGCAUUUACCAUGUCCUUGGUUAACGAUGGGUGCGUCUGUUGUAAGUGAAUCACAGUGUACAUGAACUGAGCCGCUUCUCUCCACUCUCCAUCCCCAGCUGUGCUCUCAGGCGGGCAGCCCCGCUGGGGCCGAUGCCCAGUGAGGAUCCUGAUGUCGGCAACUUAGGAGCGCUGGAAAAAUCCCGCAGUGUCAGUGGGUCCCUGAGGCUGGCGGAGAAGGAGCAGGGAGCCGCGCUGGGGGCAGACGGCCCGGCAGCACAGCAGCCCCAGCCGGGUCCUCGCCCAAGGGGCUGCGCCGUGCGGGGUUUGGAGGUCAAGACAGCUGUUGCUGGGGCUGCGUUUUGCCCCAAACUGUGCUCUGGAGAGAGCUGAUGAGGGGCUUUGGCACAAGGUUGGCCCUUUUCUGAUGGAGAAGUUUGCAGAGUGCAAAUGUUUCAGGGAACCGGAUGGCAGUUCUGGGAGGAGGGAGGCUGGCCAGGACCUGCCAAGAGACCUGGAGCAGAGUAGAGGAGUGAUUCCGUGGAAUCACAGGAUCAUUUGGUUGGAAAAGACCCUCAAGACCAUUGAGUCCAACCAUAACCCACCCCCAGCACUGCCCCGUGUCCUGAGAACCUCAUGUCCGUCUGUCCAGCCCUCCAGGGCUGGUGACUCCAGCACUGCCCUGGGCAGCCUGUUCAAUGCCCCACAGCCCUUUGGGGAAGAAAUUGUUCCCAGAUCCAACCUCAACCUCCCCUGGGCAACUUGAGGCCGUUUCAUCUUGUCCUAAACCCAGUAGUGUCAGAGGAACCAGAGCAGGAACCAGAGCUGUAGAGCACCUGCAGCAAAUAACCCAGUUUGGCUGCAGAGAGCAGAGCUGCUCCUGGGCUGGGAAACCGCUGGGCCUGGGGUGCGAUGAGCUGGGGGAGGAGGCGGCAGACGCGUGCAGGUGCCGAGGAAGGCAGAGGUGGUAGAUUCGAGUCUCUGCUGGCUUGGAGUUGGCGUCUCUUUCACAGCCACUCUAACGCUCUGCAGGCGUUUUGUGUUUGGGUAUUUUGGGUAUUGGAAUUUAUCAGGUAUGUGGUUUUUUCUCCCCUGUCUGAAGAGCCAAAGAACAACAUCAGCCUGCUGCGUGAGGAGCUGCUGCGGGCAAAGGAAAUCAAGGCAAGAAAGAAGACCCCGAGGGAGAACCGCCAGAACCUCCUGUAUCCAAACCAGCGUGGUCGGCAGGACAAGGGCAGUGACCCUUCCCCUGUGCUCUGCAUUGGGGAGGCCACACCUGGAGUGUUGUGUUCAGUUCUGGGCCCCUCAGCUCAGGAAAGAGAUUGAAGUGCUGGAGCGGGUCCAGAGAAGAGCAACAAGAUUGGGGAAGGGAUUGAACACAAGACCCAUGGGGAGAGGCUGAGGGAGCUGGGCUUGUUUAGUCUGGAGAAGAGGAGGCUUAGAGCUGAGCUCAGCACUCUCUAGAACUACCUGAAGGGCAGUUCUAGCCAGGUGGGGAUUGGGCUCUUCUCCCAGGCAUCAGCAAUAGGACAAGGGGCCAUGGGCUUCAACUCUGCCAGGGGAAAUUUAGGCUGGAGAUUAGGAAGCAUUUCUUUGCAGAGAGAGUGGUCAGGAUUGGAAUGGCUGCCCAGGGAGGUGCUGGACUCACCGGCCAUGGAGGGUUUUAAGCUGAGAUUGGACAUGGCACUUAGUGCCAUGAUCUAGUGAACGGGCUGGAGUUGGACCAAGGGCUGGACUGGAUGAUCUCUGAGGGCUUUUCCAACCCAGUCCAUUCUGUGAUUCUGUAAUGCCGAGCUGGAAAGAGCAGCGUGGCUCCGGACAGGUGUGUGCCCCGCCACCCCCUCCCUGCCCCGCGCUGGGUCCCCCGGUGUCACCUCCAGCGUUUCCCUCUCCUCGCAGCGCUGAUCCCCCUCGACGAGCUCAGAGCUGAGCGGGAGCAGAGCAGCGGCCCGUUCCACAAGCAGCGCGUGGCCGAGCACUGCGCGGUGUUUCGUGACUUGUUCCGAGGGGCCACGUUCCCCCCGGGUCACCUUGAGGGUGGCGUACAGCCAGGCAGACGAGCACGCCGUGCUGGUCUGCUAUGGGAACAUGGUGACUCCGUCAGAGGAGUGGGGGGUGCGGGGCACAGCCUUGGCCCCACGGGAAGCCUCGGUGGUUUCCUCAGACGCUCCCGAUGGGCAUUGUCUGCCCCGGGGGGUUUUGUUUAGAAGGGUAUUUGCUGUGUGAUGAUCCAAACUUGUUUCUUGGACGUGAUAAAGACAGAGCGUUGCAGCAGGACGGCUGUCUGUCAGCAGGCUGAUGCUUCUGAAGGCUCUGGGCGCUCUCCGGUGGAGCUGGAUGACUUGGUGUCGCGGCCAUGCCUGGUCUGUGCUGCGUCCUGGCCGUGCCCGUGCCCGGCUCCCAGUCCUCCCGCAGUGUCAUCCCAGGCAGAUAAAGGCUCCCUGCGGACUGUGCUGCUCACAAACCCAGAAGGACGUUGAAGGGACGCGCACUCGGAGCACCCGCGCUGGCUGGAGUGAGUACCGCACGGCAGAGCCGCGCUGCUGGGCUCGGGGAAAGCCCCGGCGGAGCGGGCAGAAACUCCUUCAACAGCGCUCGGGAAUACGGAUUUGCUGAGAUUUUCUGUGGUUCUCUGGUGCUCCUGCCAGUGCUGCUUCACGCCCAUGUUCUGGGUCCUGCUAAAGACGCAGGAGAUCAGGUGUUGCUGCUGUUUGGCUUUCAAAACGCUGAGUGUGAGGUUUUUUCCCAGUGAAAGCAGCCUCUGCUGUCUGUUUGCUUGUCAAACAGGGCGUAGGUUACGUCCCAACGGAGCCCAGAGUGAUGUGUGAUCCUGGGGGAAUCUGCUGGCCCUGGGGGAGGGAAAUGAACGGAUAUAUAGUGCAGUAAACUUGUGUGUGUUCAGGACGAACAUCCCAGGCAACGACAUGCAGUGGGGUAAGGAGAUCUGCCGCCACCUGCCCCCCUUCCCCGCCAUGGGCACUGGCUGCCAUCGCUUCAUCUUCUGCCCUUCAAGCCAGAACCGCCCAUCGACUCCAGCGAGGAUGUUGGCGCAGGCCCUGGUCACUGGGGCUGUUGCUGGGCGGUUCACGCUCUCUUGGCCAGGCUGUUCUUGCGUGUUCUGGUGACAAGGUCGUGACUGCUGGAGGAGAGCAAGUUCCUUGGAGUCUGCAGGGUUGCUCAGGGCUGCUCCGAGUUUGUGUGUCGCCUGAAGCCGCAAUCCCAGCCCUGCAAGCACUGUGCUGUCCUGUUGCUUUCAACCAGGCCGACUCGGGGGUGCUGUGGGGAAGUAGUUGCCAGCCAGAGUGCUGCAAGAAAAGGGAAUCACCUCAGCUCUUGUGCUUGUGUCUUGUUUCCAGCCACAGGCUCGAGAUGUGAACCUUGCGCACGUGUGACUUGUACAGAAAGCACGAGGAUGCCGUGACCCCGGCAGGGCUGCCGUUCCAACAGUGUUUCGAUGUUACAUUCUAUGGAAACGCCGUAGAACAAAUUGUGGCUGCUGUUGUUUAUCUGCUACAAUUUCUGUAGCAUUUUUAGACAAUUUUUGAAGUCGACUCUCGUCAGGAAUCCAGGAUCUUGUGCUGACCUGCAUGUUGCUCCUUCUGCACGUUGUCCUCGAUUAAUGCUGACCUGAGGGAUUUAUCUGCAGCACAACACGGUGUAGAUACUAAAUCAGGUCUGGAAGCCAUCUCAGGAGAUGGAUUAGCUCAUCAUUGCACCAAAAAUAGAAGGAAUGCUACUUCCUUGUUUCCUGUGCUUAUGUAAUAAGGCACAUACGUGGUAGUAACAGAGCCCGUGGCCCCUGUACUUCAUGUGCUUAUAACAGAGAAAAAAUAAAUUGUUAAAAUGAA
Molecule: long non-coding RNA, 4139 nt
Organism: Columba livia (rock pigeon)
Lineage: Eukaryota; Metazoa; Chordata; Aves; Columbiformes; Columbidae
Exons: 4
Source: RefSeq, a predicted model, not a curated record